This 330-nucleotide long non-coding RNA is filed under the name Astyanax mexicanus (Mexican tetra). RNAcentral's name for it is "lncRNA (ENSAMXG00005011873.1)". The record is from RNAcentral. Lineage: Eukaryota; Metazoa; Chordata; Actinopteri; Characiformes; Acestrorhamphidae.
CACCUACAGCCCCUCGAGCGCUCUGUGCGCUGACAGUAACAUAAACAACAUUGACAAAACGAGACAAUGCAUUUUAUUAAGGCAGCACCUGCACAAGACACAGCACUGUGUGCUGAUGUUCAAGGACUUUCUCUUAUGAGACUACUGUGGAACUUCAUCAGACAUGUCAUCGAUCCAGUAGGACGUAUUCUCUUACUUUUUGCUUCCUGCCGGCCAUAUGUGCGAGCUCGUUUCUGUGUCAUGUCACCAAUACUUCCUCUGAAUCCAUCCGGAAGACCUAUCAUCAUGUACAGUAUACGGUUACACUGGUGCUGUUCGACAUCAACCUAG